GAUGAAGAACGUAGUGAAAUGCGAUAAGUAAUGCGAAUUGCAGAAUUUCCGUGAGUCAUCGAAUCUUUGAACGCACAUUGCGCCCACUGGUAUUCCGGUGGGCAUGCCUGUUCGAGCGUCAUUAUCCUCCCUCAAACCUCUGUGUUUGGUGUUGGGCCGCGUUGGCGUCACAGCCAACUGGUCUCAAAGACAAUGACGGCGUCCGUGGGACCCUCUUCGCAACGAGCAUCUUCGGAAGCACGCGUCGAGUCUAAAGGACCUUCCGGGCCGGUCUACCCUUUAUCUUUACAAGGUUGACCUCGGAUCAGGUAGGAAUACCCGCUGAACUUAAGCAUAUCAAUAAGCGGAGGA
RNAcentral lists this unclassified non-coding RNA (351 nucleotides) under soil metagenome. RNAcentral's name for it is "partial contains 5.8S ribosomal RNA, internal transcribed spacer 2, and large subunit ribosomal RNA". The stretch from base 1 to 121 matches the Rfam family "5.8S ribosomal RNA", at positions 35 to 154 of the family's 154-position model. The record is from RNAcentral.